GUUGGUUCAACCGAUCGCGAUAAACUAAGCACCGCCGCAUGCAUCAGAAAUUUCAAACGCGAUCCCGUGAAGCGGUUAUUCAUUUGGUCACGGUUUCACAAGGAUUCAUUCAGCAGCAGUGCCGAAUCGUGAGCGAGGCAAGCGGUACAGUGUUUCAGGGGAAGUGGUCUACUGAAUAAUGAAUAGGAGUGUUGUUUUGAGCGGGGCGUUGAACAUCACGGGAUACUCUGAUUCCCUUGUGAAUUAUUGAGCUGACACAAUUCAGUGGUUGCAAUGAAGGUGUCAGUGUCAGGUACAAGGGGCAUGCUGCCUCCUUGACCCUGUCGCUACCAAGGUUAUGUUUACUUCCCUCCAAACUCCCAACUUUGACACUAUGCAAAAAGAAGAUUCCCCAUCACAUCAAACUUGCGGUACAUGCAUGGAGUACUAAAUGUAGACGAAAUAAAAAACUAAUUGCACAGUUUUGUUGUACUUUGCGAGACGAAUCUUUUGAGCCUAAUUAGUCAAUAUUUGGACAAUAAUUCACAAAUACAAACGAAACGCUACAGUUGCGCAUUUAUAGC
This 563-nucleotide long non-coding RNA is filed under the name Setaria viridis. Its description in RNAcentral is "long non-coding RNA (SVIR_LNC008370)". The record is from RNAcentral. Lineage: Eukaryota; Viridiplantae; Streptophyta; Magnoliopsida; Poales; Poaceae.